GACGAACGUUUGCGGCGUGCUUAACACAUGCAAGUCGAACGGAAAGGCCCUGCUUUUGUGGGGUGCUCGAGUGGCGAACGGGUGAGUAACACGUGAGUAACCUGCCCUUGACUUUGGGAUAACUUCAGGAAACUGGGGCUAAUACCGGAUAGGAGCUCCUGCUGCAUGGUGGGGGUUGGAAAGUUUCGGCGGUUGGGGAUGGACUCGCGGCUUAUCAGCUUGUUGGUGGGGUAGUGGCUUACCAAGGCUUUGACGGGUAGCCGGCCUGAGAGGGUGACCGGCCACAUUGGGACUGAGAUACGGCCCAGACUCCUACGGGAGGCAGCAGUGGGGAAUAUUGCACAAUGGGCGGAAGCCUGAUGCAGCAACGCCGCGUGCGGGAUGACGGCCUUCGGGUUGUAAACCGCUUUCGCCUGUGACGAAGCGUGAGUGACGGUAAUGGGUAAAGAAGCACCGGCUAACUACGUGCCAGCAGCCGCGGUGAUACGUAGGGUGCGAGCGUUGUCCGGAUUUAUUGGGCGUAAAGGGCUCGUAGGUGGUUGAUCGCGUCGGAAGUGUAAUCUUGGGGCUUAACCCUGAGCGUGCUUUCGAUACGGGUUGACUUGAGGAAGGUAGGGGAGAAUGGAAUUCCUGGUGGAGCGGUGGAAUGCGCAGAUAUCAGAAGGAACACCAGUGGCGAAGGCGGUUCUCUGGGCCUUUCCUGACGCUGAGGAGCGAAAGCGUGGGGAGCGAACAGGCUUAGAUACCCUGGUAGUCCACGCUGUAAACGGUGGGUACUAGGUGUGGGGUCCAUUCCACGGGUUCCGUGCCGUAGCUAACGCUUUAAGUACCCCGCCUGGGGAGUACGGCCGCAAGGCUAAAACUCAAAGGAAUUGACGGGGCCCCGCACAAGCGGCGGAGCAUGCGGAUUAAUUCGAUGCAACGCGUAGAACCUUACCUGGGUUUGACAUGGAUCGGGAGUGCUCAGAGAUGGGUGUGCCUCUUUUGGGGUCGGUUCACAGGUGGUGCAUGGCUGUCGUCAGCUCGUGUCGUGAGAUGUUGGGUUAAGUCCCGCAACGAGCGCAACCCUUGUUCACUGUUGCCAGCACGUUAUGGUGGGGACUCAGUGGAGACCGCCGGGGUCAACUCGGAGGAAGGUGGGGAUGACGUCAAGUCAUCAUGCCCCUUAUGUCCAGGGCUUCACGCAUGCCACAAUGGCUGGUACAGAGAGUGGCGAGCCUGUGAGGGUGAGCGAAUCUCGGAAAGCCGGUCUCAGCUCGGAUUGGGGUCUGCAACUCGACCUCAUGAAGUCGGAGUCGCUAGUAAUCGCAGAUCAGCAACGCUGCGGUGAAUACGUUCCCGGGGCU
This 1346-nucleotide ribosomal RNA is filed under the name uncultured bacterium. RNAcentral describes it as "partial 16S ribosomal RNA". It matches the Rfam family "Bacterial small subunit ribosomal RNA", at positions 28 to 1381 of the family's 1533-position model. The record is from RNAcentral.